GGGGAAUCUUCCGCAAUGGGCGCAAGCCUGACGGAGCAAGACCGCGUGCGGGAGGACGGCCUAUUGGUUGUAAACCGCUUUUGAUAGGGAAGAAGCUCUGACGGUACCUAUCGAAUCAGCAUCGGCUAACUCCGUGCCAGCAGCCGCGGUAAUACGGAGGAUGCAAGCGUUAUCCGGAAUUAUUGGGCGUAAAGCGUCCGUAGGUGGUUGUUCAAGUCUGCUGUUAAAGCGUGCGGCUUAACCGCAUACCAGCAGUGGAAACUGGGCGACUAGAGUGCGGUAGGGGUCAGGGGAAUUCCCAGUGUAGCGGUGAAAUGCGUAGAUAUUGGGAAGAACACCAGCGGCGAAAGCGCGUGACUGGGCCUGAACUGACCUCCCCCGGACGAAAGCUAGGGGAGCGAAUGGGAUUAGAUACCCCAGUAGUC
RNAcentral lists this ribosomal RNA (425 nucleotides) under uncultured Oscillatoria sp. RNAcentral's name for it is "bacterial SSU rRNA". It matches the Rfam family "Bacterial small subunit ribosomal RNA", at positions 356 to 795 of the family's 1533-position model. The record is from RNAcentral. Lineage: Bacteria; Bacillati; Cyanobacteriota; Cyanophyceae; Oscillatoriales; Oscillatoriaceae.